Molecule: unclassified non-coding RNA, 2067 nt
Filed under: uncultured fungus
Lineage: Eukaryota; Fungi
Description: sequence contains 18S rRNA gene, ITS1, 5.8S rRNA gene, ITS2, 28S rRNA gene
Rfam family: Eukaryotic large subunit ribosomal RNA (bases 913-2067)
Source: RNAcentral
GGAUGGAUCAUUAAACACGUGUUUACACACGUUACCAACCAACCUGUGCAAGGAACCUUGCUGACAUAAAAAGCACUAGCCUUUAACGGGCUUGUGCUUCAUCGUGUGCACUUCAGUUUAUUCUGAAGCCCGUCAGCUUGUGAUCCGUUACUUUUUUCUUCUGUUCACGAUGUUUCCUUUUUUACAAACCUUAAAAACCCCAAAAUCAUUAUUUAAAUGACUUAACAAUUUCUUUCGAAAAGGACUUCUCUAUUAGCCCUCGGGCGAACGGAAGUAUCUGAAUAGAUAUGAAACCCUGUACAACUCUUAGCAACGGAUAUCUUGGUUUCUCGCACCGAUGAAGAACGCAGCGAAAUGCGAUACGUAAUGCGAAUUGCAGAAUUCAGUGAAUCAUCAAAUCUUUGAACGCAUCUUGCGCUCUCGGGAUAUGCCUGGGAGCAUGCCUCUUUGAGAAUCGGUUCUAACUUCACUCGUCUGCGUGCAGACGGAAAAUGGUAGUCUUGCUUCACCGCAAGUCCACUUAAAGACAUGGUGCAUCUGGAUGUUAUCGUUUUGCCUGAGAUUCGACUUUUCGAAGCGAUUUCGGACGUGCAAAAUGAACACGAGCUUGUCAUUCAACCCCGACUCAUUCGUAUGGGGCAACUCGCGUCAUCUAGCUGAUGUUUGGUAAUUCACCCUCGGGUGAUCAACUUUCUUACAUCUUGGCUAGGCCGCAACCGUUGCGUGAUACGGAGUCGCAGGGACGAGCAAUGCGUGCUUUCACGUUUUGCCGCUGUUUGCUUAUACGCAAACGGUAUUCCAAUCGUUCAGCGGGCUUGUUAAUCGAUUUUACAUUGCGCAUCAACGCCGAAGAACGCUCUAAGCUCUUUUUGUAGCUUGUGAGUUGCAAGUUUUUCAACUUUUUACGAAUUUUGAUCUCAAAUGAAGCAAGAUUACCCGCCGAAUUUAAGCAUAUUAUUAAGCGGAGGAAAAGAAACUAACAAGGAUUCCCCUAGUAACGGCGAGUGAAGCGGGAAAAGCUCAACUUGAAAAUCGGGCUGGCUAGCGCCAGUUCCGAGUUGUAUUCUAGAGACGUCUUCUCAGCGUGCGACCCGGGUAUAAAUCCUUUGAAACAGGGUAUCAUAGAGGGUGAGAAUCCCGUCUUUGACCCGGAGCUUGCCGCGUACGAGAGGCGUUUAAAGAGUCGAAUAGCUUGGGAGUGCUGUUCUAAGUGGGUGGUAAAUUUCAUCUAAAGCUAAAUAUUGGCGAGAGACCGAUAGCGAACAAGUACCGUGAGGGAAAGAUGAAAAGAACUUUGAAAAGAGAGUUAAAAAGUACUUGAAAUUGCUAAGAGGGAAGCUCUGAAAACCAGUCGGUGCCUGGGCUUAUAUUUUCUACUGGCAGCUAGGCCGGUGGCUCGCGGGGGACGUCAAAGCCUCGUGGGUUAUCGUGUUUGGUUGGCAGUAGCGUCUGUAGGCUUGGGCCAGUCAGGAUCAAGUAGGGUGGCGAGAGAAUACCGGUGGGAAGGUAGUCAUCAAUCAGCGAUGGUUGGUGAAACUUAUAGCCCGCUGGCCUAUAUCGUCGCUCUGCUUGAGGUCCCUCUGGGAAGACAAGGUGCGGCGCAAGUCUGUCCGUAUGGGUCUCUGCUUGGAGCCGUGAUUUGGAGGACAAAGUCCUGCUGGUUGCGCGCUUUAGGUACUGGGCUUGUUCUGGGCAUGCACCUUGGCGAUCCUGACGAAAUGGUUUUCAUAGACCCGUCUUGAAACACGGACCAAGGAGUCUAACAUAUAUGCGAGUAUUUGGGUGAGUUAAACCCUGGUGCGCAAUGAAAGUGAAGGUUGCCUUUGGCAGCUGAGGUACGAAACGUGGCUCUGCCGCGUGGCAGUAUCGACCGAUCGCUUGCUUGCAAGAGAUUUGAGUAAGAGCAUAUCUGUCGGGACCCGAAAGAAAGUGAACUAUGCCUGAUCAGGGCGAAGGGCCGACGAAAGUCGGCUGGAGGCUCGUAGCGAUACUGACGUGCAAAUCGUUCGUCUGAAUUGGGUAUAGGGGCGAAAGACUAAAUCGAACUUUCUAGUUGCUGGUUCCCUC